GCGGCCUUGCCAGUGGUGGAUCCAGAGCUGCGCGUCCCUCCGCUCAUUGCAACUCUGCCCAUGUGCUUUGUAAAAAACAGCCCGAUGCUCAACCGCAUCAUCCACUUCUUCUCCAACAAACAGUGUGCUCUGGAGGUGUUGUCGUGCGGGCGUUAUGUUCCCAGAGGGCCUGCUGGCGUCAGCAUCCCUCUGAGCUCCUUGAACAGGGGGAGCUGUCUGUCUUCCAGGAGCAGGAGCGCCAGCACGCGCAGCAAGGUGUUGCCUCUGUGACUUCUCCACAGCCAAAACAAACAAGGUUCUACAGCAGGUGAGGAUUUGAGGAACCACGGCAUCUGCUGAUGUCGGUCCAAGGUUCUUAUCGAGACCAACGUCAAGACCUUUCAGAGCACUCCAUGCCUCCCUCUCUCGGCUGCUGAUUUCAUUCUCCAGGAGGACUCGGCACCUGCUUUAAUGACAGCGGUGUCAUUGGGUUUGACUGGUCAGCAAACGCAUCUGACUUAAAC
Long non-coding RNA from Gambusia affinis (western mosquitofish), 503 nucleotides. RefSeq lists it as uncharacterized. The record is from RefSeq and is a predicted model, not a curated record. NCBI's taxonomy places the organism in Eukaryota, Metazoa, Chordata, Actinopteri, Cyprinodontiformes, Poeciliidae. The transcript is spliced from 3 exons.